Long non-coding RNA from Homo sapiens (human), 2560 nucleotides. Ensembl annotates it as long intergenic non-protein coding RNA 1094. NCBI's taxonomy places the organism in Eukaryota, Metazoa, Chordata, Mammalia, Primates, Hominidae. The record is from Ensembl.
GUGUAGGAUUGUGACUAGAAGAGAGAGGAAGGUCUGGAUGGAGCAACAAGAGUCUGGGCUAUUAACACAGGUUUGAGUCAGGCUGACCGGAGCUGUAAAGCCCUUCUCGUUCUCACUGUGUGUUCUUUUCAGUUCUGUCUUCCUGAGGCUGCUGUUUCUGGGCAUGGCCAGGGGAUCUUCAGACUUUACAAACCAGUUGUGCAGAGCCAGGCAUUUCAAUAAGGAACAAAAUGCUGAGUAACAACAUGAAGUCAGAGUGUUGCUUGCCAAGAGCUGGGAGGCCUGGGUGGUUUCCCAAUCUUAAAGAAGCAGAAGGAUAUUAAAGUGAGCCUCCCAAAGGAAAACGUGGAUCUACUUACCAACGCAGAAAAUGAUACACACGGAUUCGAUUUAGGCACGCUACAUUCAAAUGACUUGGAAGAGCAGGUUCUCUGAGCCAGGAUACUAAAGUCCCUGUUUAGGAAAGAGCCACGUUGUAUGUUUACCCUACCACAAAGAUACAGUCAUGUGCCUGGGAAAGAUUGAUGCCAGCUCCAGAAAGGCAUCCGAAUGGUCUAAGUAAUGCCAUCCAUCUGUCAGUAAUAGAUUCAGAAAUGGGUAUGUGAUUCAAGUCUGGCCAAUGAGAUGUAUGCAGAAGAGUGCUGGGUAUUCUGGAAAAUUAUCCCUUGUCAUUCAGAGAUCCACAGGAAUCCAGCCUUUUGCUCCUUGAAUGGGAUAAGGAAGCACAUAAUCCCAGUUGCUCUUCCAGUCAUCCCAGACCCACAGCCCUGCUUUAGCCAUCCUAUAGCCAUCAUAUAUUCACAAGGGGAGAGCAACUGAGGACAACACUGUGGAUCCUUGUGACAUAACCAAGCCAGUGAACCAAUCAAUACAUUUAUUUAUUGUUUGAGCCAUUGUAGUUGAGCUUACGUUACUGGCAGCUGAAAGCUGAAAGUUAUUCUAUCUGCCAAUCCUCAUCUUGCACGUCUCUUAGUUUUGCUCUUAUCUCUCCUUUUCCUCUUUUUCACACAUAAAUCCCAAUCUUUGUUCCAACUCACACUGUCAACACUCUGACCUUUCCCUCUUGCUUUCUUUUCCUCUUCUCUCUGUCCCUCUCCCUUUUGCCUUUCUUUCUGCCAGUGCUACCCACAGGUAUAUCUUAAAUCUUAUUAGCCAUAGCCAUGACCAAAGACUAGGACCACCACUAGGUAUAACUGGAUUAGGUGGAGUUUUGCUCAUUUGCCCUCCUUUGUACUUUCGACAUCAACAUCCCUCACCCCUCAGCAAUUCUCUCCACUGUGCCCCACUCCAUAUAACAAAAAGUCUUGUGUGCUCUGAAACAUCCACCCAAAAACUAUAUUUUCACUAAAAUUCCUUUGGUGAUAAUGCCUUAACAUGGUGGUUUCCAAAGCUUUUUAAAACCAUAACCCACAUUAAGUAUCCUCACUCAGUAUACACAGAAUAUACACAUAGGCACUUGAUAUAGUCUGGAUAUUUGUCCCUGCCCAACUCUUAUGUUGAAUUGUAAUCCCCAGUGCUAGAGGUGGGGCUUGGUGGGAGGGUGUUUGGAUCCCUCAUGGCUUGGUGCUGUCUUCACAAUAGUGAGUUCUCUAGACAUCUGGUCAUUUGAAAGUGUGUGGCACCUUCCCCCUCUCCUUGCUUCUGCUCUGACUAUGUGACAUGCCUGCUUUCCUGCUUUCCUUUUGCCUUCUGCCAUGAUCAUAAGCUUCCUGAGGACUUCCCAGAAGUCAAGCUGAUGCUAGCAUCAUUGCUUCCUGCAAAGCCUGCAGAGCUGUGAACCUCUUUUCUUUAUGAAUUAUCCAGUCUCAGGUAUUUCUUUAUAAUGUGAAAGGAAAAUAAACCUUGGGGCCCCCAAAUCACUAAGCUAAAUGGAAAAGUCAAGCUGGGAACUGCUUAGAGCAAACCUGCCUCCCAUUCUAUUCAAAGUCAUCCCUCUGCUCACUGAGAUAGAUGUAUAUCUGAUUGCCUCCUUUGGAAAGGCUAAUCAGAAACUCAAAAGAAUGAAACCAUUCAUUUGUCUCUCGCCUAUCUGUGACCUGGAAGCCCCCUCUCUGCUUCGGCUUCAAGGCUUCCUGCCUUUGCUUCAAGUUGUCGCGCCUUUCCAGACCCAACCAAUGUACUUCUUACAUAUACUGAUUGAUGCUUCAUGUCUCCCUAAAAUGUAUAAAACUCAGCUGUGCCCCAGCCACCUUGGCCACAUGUCAUCAGGACUCCCUGAGGCUGUGCCGCAGGCUCAUCUUCAACCUUGGCAAAAUAAACUUUCUAAAUUAACUGAGACCUGUCUCAGAUUUUCGGGGUUUAGAGUAGCAAUGCAAGAAGGGACUAACACAACACUGCAGGAAAAGUUCUAUGAAACACACUUACCUUUACUACCAGUGACACAUUCUGAUAUUACAUAUUCUGUUCUAUUUCAUUUUUAAAAAGUGUUUGUCUGUACUCACUAAAUUGAUGUCAUGGAUAGUUGUUGUGACCACCAAAAACACUUCCUUCACCCACAGCAGAAAUUCUGGUGGUCGUGUGAUAAACUUGUCAAAAAGUCCUUUGAGGGUAAUUAGACUCA